AUACUACUCCCUCCGUCCGGAAAUACGUUCGUAGGAAUGGACGUAUCUAGAUGUAUUUUAAUUCUAGAAUACAUCCAUUUAUAUCCAUUUUUGUAACAAAUAAUUUCGGACGAAGGGAGUAUGAU
Non-coding RNA from Hordeum vulgare subsp. vulgare (domesticated barley), 125 nucleotides. Lineage: Eukaryota; Viridiplantae; Streptophyta; Magnoliopsida; Poales; Poaceae. The record is from Rfam.